UCUGGGCCUUCAAUUCUUUAGCUUAUAGGAAAACCUGCAGAUUCUUAGGGGUGACUGGUGAUGGGUGUGGGGCCCCCAAGUAUGACUGCCUGCUUAUGGGUUUGCACUGUCAGUUUUCAUAUCAAGUAUCUCUAAUCUUGGUCCUCACUGAAAGGUGUCACAUAGAUUCAGCCUGACUUGCAGGUAGCCAUCACCACCAUGACUGCCCCUUUAUGAUGCUGGUCAGCUUUUCCCCAUGUCAUAAAGCCAAUGGGAGAGGGAUAAGGAGCCUGGGAGCCAAGCUAGAGUUGGUCGUCAUGGACCUUGUAGUGAUCACAAAUUCAACCCUGGACAGGCUUGGCCUCUGAGGCUGGUUCUGGUGGGGCUGUGACAUCCUCACUCUGGACGUGUGAAGCGGCUUUCCUGCUGUGCUGAGUCCGGUCAAGGAACAUAAACCUUUCCAGAAUUUACGGAUUGUAAAUACUCGAGUGUUUCAUCAUGACUGGCCCACUGCAGACAUCACAUGGCAUGGAUAGAGUCCCAGCCUGCGCUUCACUGAAAUAUGCUUGGCCUAGAGGCUUCCGCUGAGAGAUCGGGAAGGAAGCUAUUCCUCUGCCCCACGGACUGCGUGGCUCACCCCUCAGAGAGCAGCGACUGGUUCGUGGAAGUGCAUGAACUUAACCCACAGCUGUCUUCAGGCUAUGUGCUUCAAAGCCACCAGCCGUUCUUCCCAGGAGCCACAGGAGACAUUUGCAGCAAGGGAGUGAAUGUGUAAUAUUUUAAAAUUCUCUGUGACAAGUUCUUCUUGGUCUUGAAAUUAUGUGAUUGCUUUUUCACAUUUCUAUGCUACAACAAGAAACACCUGCCUCUCGGUAGACAAAUGGAAUGAAAGAUGUGACCAGAUACUUCUUGCCCUAAGGAGAGUGAUCUGGGUUGGCAGCCUGCUGUGCUUUGCUCAGCCACCUGGCGGUGCUGGCAGAGGGUCACUGCAGGCAGAAGCCCCACCAGGGCAGCCUGCCUCCUCCAGAGACAGAGGGGCCAUCUAUGUCACAUAGGAAACCUCGGAAUGCAGGAAAUGCUGAAAAUUACAGCGACCUCUUCUUCAAGGACAUGAUCAGGCCUGUGCCACUCUGGAGUGACAGCCACGCGAACCAGGAGUUCCCCAAUCCCAGGUGCUUAGAGAGGUGACACAGAAGGCUAGCCUGGUGUCCCAGGUCUCAAGCCCCACACCUGAAGUCCUGCCCCCUUGUUACAUCUCUGAGAGCACAAUGGAAACAUCUCUGGCUCCUCUGCAACCGCCUCUCCUACAUCCCAUGUCGCCUGGUGGGCUCAGAACCAUGCCUGUCUGUGAGCUGCAUUUGCUUUGUGGAACUGCAGUGGGAUUCAGCGCGUCUACGGAUGUGGGAUAUGUCCUCGGUUGGUACGCACCUCUGGCUGAGCAAGCAGGCAGUCACAGCUCCCCAGGUGGCCCCUCUGCGGCUCUCUCCCCUGGCCUCACCACAGU
Long non-coding RNA from Chinchilla lanigera (long-tailed chinchilla), 1483 nucleotides. RefSeq lists it as uncharacterized. The record is from RefSeq and is a predicted model, not a curated record. Lineage: Eukaryota; Metazoa; Chordata; Mammalia; Rodentia; Chinchillidae. The transcript has 4 exons.